CCUACGGGUGGCUGCAUUGGGGAAUAUUGCACAAUGGGCGCAAGCCUGAUGCAGCCAUGCCGCGUGUGUGAAGAAGGCCUUCGGGUUGUAAAGCACUUUCAGCGGGGAGGAAGGUGUUAAGGUUAAUAACCUUGUCGAUUGACGUUACCCGCAGAAGAAGCACCGGCUAACUCCGUGCCAGCAGCCGCGGUAAUACGGAGGGUGCAAGCGUUAAUCGGAAUUACUGGGCGUAAAGCGCACGCAGGCGGUCUGUCAAGUCGGAUGUGAAAUCCCCGGGCUCAACCUGGGAACUGCAUUCGAAAGUGGCAGGCUAGAGUCUUGUAGGGGGGGGUAGGAUUCCAGGUGUAGCGGUGAAAUGCGUAAAGAUCUGGGAGAAUACCGGGGGCGAAGGCGGCCCCCUGGACAAAGACUGACGCUCAAGUGCGAAAGCGUGGGGAGCAAACAGGAUUAGAUACCCCGGUAGUC
This 465-nucleotide ribosomal RNA is filed under the name uncultured Klebsiella sp. Its description in RNAcentral is "bacterial SSU rRNA". It matches the Rfam family "Bacterial small subunit ribosomal RNA", at positions 338 to 795 of the family's 1533-position model. Lineage: Bacteria; Pseudomonadati; Pseudomonadota; Gammaproteobacteria; Enterobacterales; Enterobacteriaceae. The record is from RNAcentral.